Molecule: ribosomal RNA, 497 nt
Filed under: uncultured bacterium
Lineage: Bacteria
Description: partial 16S ribosomal RNA
Rfam family: Bacterial small subunit ribosomal RNA
Source: RNAcentral
GAGGAACGCGGGCGGCGUGCCUAAUACAUGCAAGUCGAGCGAACAGACGAGGAGCUUGCUCCUCUGACGUUAGCGGCGGACGGGUGAGUAACACGUGGAUAACCUACCUAUAAGACUGGGAUAACUUCGGGAAACCGGAGCUAAUACCGGAUAAUAUAUUGAACCGCAUGGUUCAAUAGUGAAAGACGGUUUUGCUGUCACUUAUAGAUGGAUCCGCGCCGCAUUAGCUAGUUGGUAAGGUAACGGCUUACCGAGGCAACGAUGCGUAGCCGACCUGAGAGGGUGAUCGGCCACACUGGAACUGAGACACGGUCCAGACUCCUACGGGAGGCAGCAGUAGGGAAUCUUCCGCAAUGGGCGAAAGCCUGACGGAGCAACGCCGCGUGAGUGAUGAAGGUCUUCGGAUCGUAAAACUCUGUUAUUAGGGAAGAACAAAUGUGUAAGUAACUAUGCACGUCUUGACGGUACCUAAUCAGAAAGCCACGGCUAACUACGUG